RNAcentral lists this ribosomal RNA (632 nucleotides) under Rhizobium etli. Its description in RNAcentral is "bacterial SSU rRNA". It matches the Rfam family "Bacterial small subunit ribosomal RNA", at positions 44 to 724 of the family's 1533-position model. The record is from RNAcentral. Lineage: Bacteria; Pseudomonadati; Pseudomonadota; Alphaproteobacteria; Hyphomicrobiales; Rhizobiaceae.
AGGCUUAACACAUGCAAGUCGAGCGCCCCGCAAGGGGAGCGGCAGACGGGUGAGUAACGCGUGGGAACGUACCCUUUACUACGGAAUAACGCAGGGAAACUUGUGCUAAUACCGUAUGUGCCCUUCGGGGGAAAGAUUUAUCGGUAAAGGAUCGGCCCGCGUUGGAUUAGCUAGUUGGUGGGGUAAAGGCCUACCAAGGCGACGAUCCAUAGCUGGUCUGAGAGGAUGAUCAGCCACAUUGGGACUGAGACACGGCCCAAACUCCUACGGGAGGCAGCAGUGGGGAAUAUUGGACAAUGGGCGCAAGCCUGAUCCAGCCAUGCCGCGUGAGUGAUGAAGGCCCUAGGGUUGUAAAGCUCUUUCACCGGAGAAGAUAAUGACGGUAUCCGGAGAAGAAGCCCCGGCUAACUUCGUGCCAGCAGCCGCGGUAAUACGAAGGGGGCUAGCGUUGUUCGGAAUUACUGGGCGUAAAGCGCACGUAGGCGGAUCGAUCAGUCAGGGGUGAAAUCCCAGGGCUCAACCCUGGAACUGCCUUUGAUACUGGCGAUCUGGAGUAUGGAAGAGGUGAGUGGAAUUCCGAGUGUAGAGGUGAAAUUCGUAGAUAUUCGGAGGAACACCAGUGGCGAAAGCGG